Non-coding RNA from Myodes glareolus (Bank vole), 1955 nucleotides. The record is from RefSeq and is a predicted model, not a curated record. NCBI's taxonomy places the organism in Eukaryota, Metazoa, Chordata, Mammalia, Rodentia, Cricetidae.
UUCAGUGGGGGCCAGCACAGCACACGUGUGCAGUCCCAGGGCUGGUGAGGGGGAGGCAGGAGGACUGCAAAUUUGAGGCCAGCCUAGGCUGAAACUGAGAAACUGUCUGAAACACUCAACUCAAAGGUUGGCGAUGAAGCUUGGUGAUAGAGUGUUUGUCCAGCACACACGAGGCCCUGGGUUUGGUCAGAUAGCACAAAACCAAAACCAAACCAAACUGAAACAGCUAUGGCUUCCUACAGCCCUCAGAGGAGAGGUUCCUGCCAUUUUGAGGCCAUGGGCCUUUUGAUCCCAAACUCCUUUGCAGCAGCAGCAGGCUCUCCGUGUUCAUCUUGACCCCAGGUUCUGUAUUGUUAGCGGUUCCUUCUACUACAGAGCUCUCCCCAGACAUCAGGAUUACCAGGAGAAAUCUAAAAGGAUGGGAACCUUUUCUUUAUAUAUAUAUAUAUUUCUCACAUGUGUGUGUGCAUGUGUGUAUUAGUAUAUUAUAUAUAAUAUAAUACUAAUAUAUAAUAUAUGUAGUACUAUGUUCUGAGUGGCUUAGAAUAAUGCCUGGCUCAUGGUAAGUGCUUGGUCGAUACACAGUGGCUGAAGGCACACAUGCCACAUUACCAUGCACUGUCUUUUCCUUCCCUCUACCCCAUCCAUUCUUUCGUUCCAGUUUCUACUAAGCCUCGUGAAGGCAUAGUUCUGAUUUCUGCUUGCCACCUGCUGGUAGGCUCCAAUGCUGCCCACCCAGGUGAGUGUGUUCAUUAGUGUUUGCUGACAGCAGGAACGCAGGAGUGGUAGAAAUAGCGCCUUCACGCCUUUCCCACCAGGCAGGCUCCACAGUCUCCAAGGCAGUAAAUGAGUAACCCUUGCCCUCCUGGGAUCUGUCUUUGCAUUAGACAAGGUGUCAGUCGGCCCAGACUCUGAAAUUCUCCUGGGCAGCAGGAAGGUCUUCCUCUGGUUUCCUCCUGCCGCCACCAUCACUUUCUGAGCUGCUCACACUGGGCAUCCGACGUUCUGCAAGGGGCCCUUUCCUCACUCAUCUCCCCUGAGAAGGCUGUGCAACUGAACGGACUGCUUGACUCGAAGGAGAUGUUCCCAAAAGAUUUACAGAAUCGUGACUUACUUCAGGCUGCUGCGUUCCAAACACUGGACAGACACCGAGGGAUAGAUUUCGUGUCCUCAAGAAUAAGCUCUCCUUCCUCUCUGAAAAGAGAGAAGAACAAGUCUGCCCUGUGAGAAAAGCACAGGAAAGCCACGAUGCAGAAGGACUGGCAUCUGCUUAGGCAACCGCCGCUUCUGCUUCCUUCUUCCUACCAAUGACGGCGUGCUCAGCAGUUGUGGGAGAGGAAGAUGCUUCCACAGUCUGGGGGUGUCUGAUGAUCUGAGGAGAACUCACCCGUCUGGGGGACCUGAGAGUUUUGGUUCCUGGCUCUGUAGAGGCUGGAGGCUGCCAUGGUGCGGUGGGACUGCAGUAGACAGCAGCCGAAUGCUUAGAAUCCUGGCUUCAAGACGUCAGGUCACCCACGUAACCCCUCUGGUCGCUGUUACUGUUCCUGGAAGAGUUGAGGUCACUAUAUAUAGUAAAAUGUUCUGGAAGAUGCGGCCCAAGGUGGUAUGAGAGGUGGUGUGGUUGGUAAGGUGCAGUGGUUAACAGCUAACAGUUAAAAAUAGUUAGUUCUCAUGUAGCCCAGGCUAGCCUCAAACUCUACAGAGCUGAGGAUGACCUUGAACUCCUGGUCCUCCUGUGCCUCUAUUUCCUCAGAGCUGGGGUUGCUGGCGUGUAUCACCAUGCCUGGUUUCUGCUGUGAUGGAGAUCAAGCCCAGGGCUUCAUGCACGCCAGGCACACAAUACAAACUAAGCAACACCUCCCCCUCCAAUAGCAGGCGCUUUUUACACUGCGUUGAAAUUCCCUCUGGUUUAUCCACAGAAAUUUAGUUGACUUAAGCCUAAAUUAUAUUAUCUG